Molecule: ribosomal RNA, 783 nt
Filed under: uncultured Chloroflexota bacterium
Lineage: Bacteria; Bacillati; Chloroflexota
Description: bacterial SSU rRNA
Rfam family: Bacterial small subunit ribosomal RNA
Source: RNAcentral
AAGGGGGGUUUGAUCAUGGGGCUCAGGACGAACGCUGGCGGUGCGCCCAAUGCAUGCAAGUCGAACGAGAACAUUCCGACUUGUCGGGAUGGGACAGUGGCAGACGGCUGAGUAACACGUAAGUGACCUACCUCGAGGUGGGGGAUAAUCAGGAGAAAUCCUGUCUAAUACCCCAUAAGUCCCUUUGGUCACGGCCAUUGGGAGAAAGGCUUCGGCCGCCUUGGGACGGGCUUGCGGCCUAUCAGGUAGUUGGCGGGGUAACGGCCCACCAAGCUAAAGACGGGUACCCGGUGUGAGAGCACGAACGGGCAGAGGGGGACUGAGACACGGCCCCCACUCCUACGGGAGGCAGCAGCAGGGAAUCUUGCGCAAUGGGCGAAAGCCUGACGCAGCGACACCGCGUGGAGGAUGAAGGCUUGAGAGUCGUAAACUCCUUUUAUCAGGGAAGAGGACGGACGGUACCUGAGGAAUAAGCAUCGGCUAACUACGUGCCAGCAGCCGCGGUAAUACGUAGGAUGCGAGCGUUGUCCGGAUUUACUGGGCGUAAAGGGCGAGUAGGCGGCCGUUCAAGUCUCAUGUGAAAUCUCCCGGCCCAACUGGGAGCGGUCAUGGGAAACUGAGCGGCUUGAGGUCGGCAGCGGAAAGCGGAAUUCCCGGAGUAGCGGUGAAAUGCUCUGAUACCGGGGAGGAACACCAGAGGCGAAGGCGGCUUUCUGGGCCGUACUGACGCUGAGGCGCGAAGCAUGGGGAGCAACCGGAUUAAUACCCGGGUAGUCCUGCCCU